Molecule: ribosomal RNA, 292 nt
Filed under: uncultured Acidobacteriota bacterium
Lineage: Bacteria; Pseudomonadati; Acidobacteriota
Description: uncultured Acidobacteria bacterium partial 16S ribosomal RNA
Source: RNAcentral
GGACUACCGGGGUUUCUAAUCCUGUUUGCUACCCACGCUUUCGUGUCUCAGCGUCAGUGAAGGUCCAGAAAGCUGUCUACACCGCAGGUGUUCCUCCUGAUAUCUACGCAUUUCACCGCUACACCAGGAAUUCCGCCUUCCUCUCCCUUACUCGAGCCCUCCAGUUUCCGGCGCACCCUCCCAGUUGAGCCGGGAGAUUUCACACCGAACUUAGAGAACCGCCUACACACUCUUUACGCCCAGUAAUUCCGAACAACGCUUGCUGCCUACGUAUUACCGCGGCUGCUGGCAC